UACGUAGGGUGCAAGCGUUAAUCGGAAUUACUGGGCGUAAAGCGUCUGUAGGUGGUUUAAUAAGUCAACUGUUAAAUCUUGAGGCUCAACCUCAAAAUCGCAGUCGAAACUAUUAGGCUAGAGUAUAGUAGGGGUAAAGGGAAUUUCCAGUGGAGCGGUGAAAUGCGUAGAGAUUGGAAAGAACACCGAUGGCGAAGGCACUUUACUGGGCUAUUACUAACACUCAGAGACGAAAGCUAGGGUAGCAAAUGGG
This 253-nucleotide ribosomal RNA is filed under the name uncultured bacterium. Its description in RNAcentral is "partial 16S ribosomal RNA". It matches the Rfam family "Bacterial small subunit ribosomal RNA", at positions 524 to 776 of the family's 1533-position model. The record is from RNAcentral.